This 423-nucleotide ribosomal RNA is filed under the name uncultured bacterium. RNAcentral describes it as "bacterial SSU rRNA". It matches the Rfam family "Bacterial small subunit ribosomal RNA", at positions 355 to 774 of the family's 1533-position model. The record is from RNAcentral.
UGAGGAAUAUUGGUCAAUGGGCGCGAGCCUGAACCAGCCAAGUAGCGUGAAGGAUGAAGGUCCUAUGGAUUGUAAACUACUUUUAUAGCAGAAUAAAGUGACCCACGUGUGGGUUUUUGUAUGUAUGCUAUGAAUAAGGAUCGGCUAACUCCGUGCCAGCAGCCGCGGUAAUACGGAGGAUCCGAGCGUUAUCCGGAUUUAUUGGGUUUAAAGGGUGCGUAGGCGGAAAGAUAAGUCAGCCUGUGAAAGUUUGCGGCUCAACCGUAAAAUUGCAGUUGAUACUGUUUUUCUUGAGUGUACAUAAGGUAGGCGUAAUUCGUGGUGUAGCGGUGAAAUGCUUAGAUAUCACGAAGAACUCCGAUUGCGAAGGCAGCUUACCGGGGUACAACUGACGCUGAUGCACGAAAGUGUGGGUAUCAAACA